ACACCGUCAUCCUCUCUUGCCGUGGCGGAGCUGUCUGGGAACAUGGGUCUUCCUGGUCCUGGUGCCGAAGACUGUAGGGAGCUGAUGUAGCUGGAGGCAGUGUCACUAACACUGCUCACUGCAACCCCUUCCCUGUGGCGUGUGGUGGGACUGCACUUCUCAGCCUCCUGUGGGUGGGCAGAGCCAGGUGACGACUCCUGUCAGUGAGUUAUGAGUGGAAAUGAUCUCUACCUCCAGGCGAGAGCUGUUAGUCCAUAAUGCAAGACUCCCCACCUUCCUCUUGUCUUCUAGCCCAGGGCAAAAAGACAGUCCAUGUAUUUAGUUCUUCAAGGGCAAGUGGACACCUCCAUGUUCCCUGAUUGUGGAAUAUUAUCCUCAAAGGAAUUUCACACACCAAGUCUCUUCCUCCAAAAUCUGGAAGAACAAGGACCCAUUUCAUACCCAGUAAGGAAAGGGCCAGGCCUAGCAAAAGUAAAGGACAGCAAUUCAUGGCAAGUUUGAGACAAAAAGAGUUCUGCAGGACCACCUUGCACAGAGGGUGCCUGGAAUAUAACCACCCAGUGUGGGAGGAAUUGGGGUUCCAGUGGCCCCUCUUUCUUGGGCCUCUGUGAUUUCUGAGAGAAAACCCAGAGGCAAGCUCUGUAAUUUGCCAAAUCUGGUGUAUUAGUCACUCUU
This is a long non-coding RNA of Chinchilla lanigera (long-tailed chinchilla), 675 nucleotides long. RefSeq lists it as uncharacterized. The record is from RefSeq and is a predicted model, not a curated record. The transcript has 3 exons. NCBI's taxonomy places the organism in Eukaryota, Metazoa, Chordata, Mammalia, Rodentia, Chinchillidae.